GCAGGUUGAAGCGCGGGUAAGACCGCGUGGAGGACCGAACCCACCUGGGUUGAAAACCGGGGGGAUGACUUGGGGCUAGGGGUGAAAGGCCAAUCAAAUUCCGUGAUAGCUGGUUCUCUCCGAAAUGCAUUUAGGUGCAGCGUCGGGGAUUACGUCCGGGGGGUAGAGCUACUGGAUGCUUGAGGGCCCGUAUCGGGUACCGACAGCAGCCAAACUCCGAAUACCCGUGACGCGUAUCCCGGCAGUGAGUCGGCGGGGGAUAAGCUCCGUCGUCGAAAGGGAAACAGCCCAGAUCGUCGUCUAAGGUCCCCAAGCGUGUGCUAAGUGGGAAAGGAUGUGGAGUCGCAUAGACAGCCAGGAGGUUGGCUCAGAAGCAGCCACCCUUGAAAGAGUGCGUAACAGCUCACUGGUCUAGUGGUUCCGCGCCGACAAUGUAGCGGGGCUCAAGCACGCCACCGAAGACGCGGCAGCGUCCGUUUGGAUGCUGGGUAGGAGAGCGUCCCCAUCGGGGCGAAGCGGCGGCGCAAGCCUGCCGUGGACCGUUGGGGAGUGAGAAUGCAGACAUGAGUAGCGAGAGGCGGGUGCGAAUCCCGCCCGCUGGAUGACCAAGGGUUCCGGGGCCACGUUCGUCGUCCCCGGGUGAGUCGGGUCCUAAGGCGAGGCCGACAGGCGUAGUCGAAUGGAUGAACGGGUCGAUAUUCCCGUACCGGCAUGCAACCGGCAAAACCGAAUCCGCGAGUACUAACCUCCGGGUCCGGGCUUACGUCUCCUUCGGGAGCCGGAUGCCCUGGCCUGUUGGGACCGUAACGGUAGUAGGUCAGCGCGGGAGUGACGCAGAAGGGUAGCCGGCCGCGGAGGUGGUCUUCCGUGGUCAAGCACGCAGCCCGUCCCACAGGCAAAUCCGUGGGGCGCGUGGGCGAGGUGCGAUGAUGGGCGCCGCAGGGCGCGAUAUCCGGUGAUCCCGGCUGCCGAGAAAAGCUUCGGCGUGAGGCGGCGUGCCGCCCGUACCCCAAACCGACACUGGUGGUCAGGUAGAGAAUACCAAAGCGAUCGAGCGAAUCCUGGUCAAGGAACUCGGCAAAUCACUCCCGUUCCUUCGGUUUAAGGGAGACCCCCGAUGGUGAAGCGGCUUGCCCGUGGAGCUUUUGGGGGUGGCACAGACCAGGGGGUAGCGACUGUUUACCAAAAACACAGGAGCGUGCGAAGGCGCAAGCCGCUGUAUACGCUCUGACGCCUGCCCGGUGCCGGAAGGUUAAGAGGAUCCGUCAGGCUUCGGCCGAAGCGGUGAAUUCAAGCCCCGGUAAACGGCGGUGGUAACUAUAACCAUCCUAAGGUAGCGAAAUUCCUUGUCGGGUAAGUUCCGACCUGCACGAAUGGCGUAACGACUUCCCCACUGUCUCGACCAGGAGCUCGGCGAAAUUGCAGUACGAGUAAAGAUGCUCGUUAAGCGCAGAAGGACGAAAAGACCCCGGGACCUUUACUAUACCUUGGUAUUGGCAUUCGGUGUGGAUUGUGUAGCAUAGGCGGAAGGCUUCGAAGCCACGGCGCCAGCCGCGGUGGAGCCGCAAGGUGAAAUACCGCUCUGUUCGCAUUGGAUGUCUAACCUCGACCAGUCAUCCUGGUCAGGGACAGUGCCUGGCGGGUAGUUUAACUGGGGCGGUUGCCUCCCAAAGAGUAACGGAGGCGCUCAAAGGUUCCCUCAGCCCGGUUGGCAAUCGGGGGGCGAGUGUAAGUGCACAAGGGAGCUUGACUGCGAGACUGACGGGUCGAGCAGGGACGAAAGUCGGAACUAGUGAUCCGGUGCCGGUGUACGGACGCGGCAUCGCUCAACGGAUAAAAGGUACCCCGGGGAUAACAGGCUGAUCAUUCCCAAGAGUCCAUAUCGACGGGAUGGUUUGGCACCUCGAUGUCGGCUCGUCGCAUCCUGGGGCUGGAGCAGGUCCCAAGGGUUCGGCUGUUCGCCGAUUAAAGCGGCACGCGAGCUGGGUUCAGAACGUCGUGAGACAGUUUGGUCUCUAUCCUCUGCGCUCGUCGGAAUGUUGAGGAGGCCUGCCCAUAGUACGAGAGGACCUGGGUGGACGAACCUCUGGUAUGCCGGUUGUCACGCCAGUGGCACGGCCGGUUGGCUACGUUCG
Molecule: ribosomal RNA, 2135 nt
Filed under: human gut metagenome
Description: bacterial LSU rRNA
Rfam family: Bacterial large subunit ribosomal RNA
Source: RNAcentral